GCUCGUGUAGCUCAGUGGUAGAGCACUUCAUUGGUAAUGAAGAGGUCGGCAGUUCAAUCCUGCCCACGAGCACCA
RNAcentral lists this transfer RNA (75 nucleotides) under Pseudomonadota bacterium. Its description in RNAcentral is "Proteobacteria bacterium (hot springs metagenome) tRNA-Thr". It matches the Rfam family "tRNA". From Rfam's summary of the family: Transfer RNA (tRNA) molecules are approximately 80 nucleotides in length. The record is from RNAcentral. Lineage: Bacteria; Pseudomonadati; Pseudomonadota.